UUUUGAAUAUUUUAAUAAAAAUACUAAAUUGUAAAUUUAAAGAUAAACUUGUUGUUUUUCAGAAA
Molecule: transfer RNA, 65 nt
Filed under: Obrimoposthia wandeli
Lineage: Eukaryota; Metazoa; Platyhelminthes; Tricladida; Uteriporidae
Description: tRNA-Tyr
Source: RNAcentral